Molecule: ribosomal RNA, 253 nt
Filed under: uncultured bacterium
Lineage: Bacteria
Description: partial 16S ribosomal RNA
Rfam family: Bacterial small subunit ribosomal RNA
Source: RNAcentral
UACGGAGGGUGCGAGCGUUGUCCGGAACCAUUGGGCGUAAAGGGCGCGUAGGUGGCCCAGUCAGCGUGCGGUGAAAGCUCGGGGCUCAACCCCGAGUCGGCCGUGCGAACUACUGGGCUGGAGCACUGUAGAGGCAGGCGGAAUUCCGGGUGUAGCGGUGGAAUGCGUAGAGAUCCGGAAGAACACCGGUGGCGAAGGCGGCCUGCUGGGCAGUUGCUGACACUGAGGCGCGACAGCGUGGGGAGCAAACAGG